Molecule: ribosomal RNA, 253 nt
Filed under: uncultured bacterium
Lineage: Bacteria
Description: partial 16S ribosomal RNA
Rfam family: Bacterial small subunit ribosomal RNA
Source: RNAcentral
UACGAAGGGGGCUAGCGUUGUUCGGAAUUACUGGGCGUAAAGCGCGCGCAGGCGGUUUUCCAAGUCAGUGGUGAAAGCCCGGAGCUCAACUCCGGAAUUGCCAUUGAAACUGUUGAACUCGAGGACGAGAGAGGUGAGUGGAAUUCCCAGUGUAGAGGUGAAAUUCGUAGAUAUUGGGAAGAACACCGGUGGCGAAGGCGGCUCACUGGCUCGUUUCUGACGCUCAGGCGCGACAGCGUGGGGAUCAAACAGG